This 460-nucleotide ribosomal RNA is filed under the name uncultured bacterium. RNAcentral describes it as "partial 16S ribosomal RNA". It matches the Rfam family "Bacterial small subunit ribosomal RNA", at positions 338 to 795 of the family's 1533-position model. The record is from RNAcentral.
CCUACGGGGUGCUGCAGUGAGGAAUAUUGGUCAAUGGGCGCGAGCCUGAACCAGCCAAGUAGCGUGAAGGAUGAAUGCCCUACGGGUUGUAAACUUCUUUUAUAAAGGAAUAAAGUGAGGCACGUGUGCCUUUUUGUCUGUACUUUAUGAAUAAGGAUCGGCUAACUACGUGCCAGCAGCCGCGGUAAUACGGAGGGACCGAGCGUUAUCCGGAUUUAUUGGGUUUAAAGGGAGCGUAGAUGGGUUGUUAAGUCAGUUGUGAAAGUUUGCGGCUCAACCGUAAAAUUGCAAUUGAUACUGGCAGCCUUGAGUACAGUUGAGGUAAGCGGAAUUCGUGGUGUAGCGGUGAAAUGCUUAGAUAUCACGAAGAACUCCGAUUGCGAAGGCAGCUUACUAAACUGCCACUGACAUUGAUGCUCGAAAGUGUGGGUAUCAAACAGGAUUAGAUACCCCUGUAGUC